Molecule: long non-coding RNA, 305 nt
Organism: Onychostoma macrolepis
Lineage: Eukaryota; Metazoa; Chordata; Actinopteri; Cypriniformes; Cyprinidae
Exons: 3
Source: RefSeq, a predicted model, not a curated record
CAAAAUGAACAAGUGACCCCGUAAAAAUUACUGGCUGCUGUAAAACAUAACAUUACAUGUGUAUGCUACUGCUAAACAUUGCAGAACACAGAAACCGUGUCAGAGUAACAGCUUUCUUUGAACGCCCGCCAUUUUUCUCUAUUUCCGCGUGAGGUGCAGCGGUCACGUGGUACAAGCCGAGAACUCCCAGACGUGAAAGCUUUUUACAAAGGACUAACUCCUUGUACCCCUAAGCCAUGAUGUACCAAAAAAGCAUGACCUGCUUGCUGUAGCGAUCUCAACAGUACCACUUUUUUGGGUCACAU